Myotis lucifugus (little brown bat) is the source of this 132-nucleotide small nucleolar RNA. Ensembl annotates it as small nucleolar RNA SNORA51. NCBI's taxonomy places the organism in Eukaryota, Metazoa, Chordata, Mammalia, Chiroptera, Vespertilionidae. The record is from Ensembl.
GGCCUCCUAGUGCUUACCACAGGCUAAUGUCCUUACACUGACUAUUAGAAAAAGGAGGCAGAGCAAACCCACCCCGUAUACACCUGAGCUCCGGCUUUUUGCCACAUCUGUGUUGUUAAAGGGAGGAUCUGU